RNAcentral lists this ribosomal RNA (374 nucleotides) under uncultured bacterium. RNAcentral describes it as "partial 16S ribosomal RNA". It matches the Rfam family "Bacterial small subunit ribosomal RNA", at positions 338 to 709 of the family's 1533-position model. The record is from RNAcentral.
CCUACGGGUGGCAGCAGUGAGGAAUAUUGGUCAAUGGGCGUAAGCCUGAACCAGCCAAGUCGCGUGAGGGAUGAAGGUUCUAUGGAUCGUAAACCUCUUUUAUAAGGGAAUAAAGUGCGGGACGUGUCCCGUUUUGUAUGUACCUUAUGAAUAAGGAUCGGCUAACUCCGUGCCAGCAGCCGCGUUAAUACGGAGGAUCCGAGCGUUAUCCGGAUUUAUUGGGUUUAAAGGGUGCGUAGGCGGCCUUUUAAGUCGGCGGUGAAAGUCUGGGGCUCAACCAUAGAAUUGCCGUUGAAACUGGGAGACUAGAGUAUGUUAGAGGGAGGCGGAAUGCUUGGUGUAGCAGUGAAAUGCUUAGAUAUCGCGAGGAACAC